This 545-nucleotide ribosomal RNA is filed under the name Staphylococcus aureus. Its description in RNAcentral is "partial 23S ribosomal RNA". It matches the Rfam family "Bacterial large subunit ribosomal RNA", at positions 1992 to 2536 of the family's 2925-position model. The record is from RNAcentral. Lineage: Bacteria; Bacillati; Bacillota; Bacilli; Caryophanales; Staphylococcaceae.
ACGAAAGGCGUAACGAUUUGGGCACUGUCUCAACGAGAGACUCGGUGAAAUCAUAGUACCUGUGAAGAUGCAGGUUACCCGCGACAGGACGGAAAGACCCCGUGGAGCUUUACUGUAGCCUGAUAUUGAAAUUCGGCACAGCUUGUACAGGAUAGGUAGGAGCCUUUGAAACGUGAGCGCUAGCUUACGUGGAGGCGCUGGUGGGAUACUACCCUAGCUGUGUUGGCUUUCUAACCCGCACCACUUAUCGUGGUGGGAGACAGUGUCAGGCGGGCAGUUUGACUGGGGCGGUCGCCUCCUAAAAGGUAACGGAGGCGCUCAAAGGUUCCCUCAGAAUGGUUGGAAAUCAUUCAUAGAGUGUAAAGGCAUAAGGGAGCUUGACUGCGAGACCUACAAGUCGAGCAGGGUCGAAAGACGGACUUAGUGAUCCGGUGGUUCCGCAUGGAAGGGCCAUCGCUCAACGGAUAAAAGCUACCCCGGGGAUAACAGGCUUAUCUCCCCCAAGAGUUCACAUCGACGGGGAGGUUUGGCACCUCGAUGUCGGC